RNAcentral lists this long non-coding RNA (231 nucleotides) under Vigna radiata. Its description in RNAcentral is "long non-coding RNA (VRAD_LNC005053)". The record is from RNAcentral. Lineage: Eukaryota; Viridiplantae; Streptophyta; Magnoliopsida; Fabales; Fabaceae.
AAAAUUGAAAACAAAAGAAAAGCUAAAUGCAAGGGAAAGCUGGGAAUAAAUUAAGAUGAUUCUUAGAAAGAGAGGUUGUGCUUGAAUGAUGAAAUCAUAAAUGUCUCUUUUAACUCAAGGAUUUUGCUGACUAGAAAAACUAAUUUCUUUCUUAGCCUAGCCACGUUACAAGCCAUGAAAAGACCUUGUGAUGAAAACUUACUUGUUAGUCUGUUUGAUUGUGGUUAAAAG